UACGGAGGGUGCAAGCGUUGUCCGGAUUUAUUGGGUUUAAAGGGUGCGUAGGCGGCCCGUUAAGUCAGUGGUGAAAGCCUCCAGCUCAACUGGAGAACUGCCAUUGAUACUGACGGGCUUGAGUACAGACGAGGUAGGCGGAAUUGAUUGUGUAGCGGUGAAAUGCAUAGAUACAAUCAAGAACACCGAUUGCGUAGGCAGCUUACUAAGGAGUAACUGACGCUGAGGCACGAAAGUGUGGGGAUCAAACAGG
This 253-nucleotide ribosomal RNA is filed under the name uncultured prokaryote. RNAcentral describes it as "partial 16S ribosomal RNA". It matches the Rfam family "Bacterial small subunit ribosomal RNA", at positions 524 to 776 of the family's 1533-position model. The record is from RNAcentral.